GACGAACGCUGGCGGCGUGCUUAACACAUGCCAGUCGAACGGUGAAGCGCCUUCCUUUUUGGUGGGUGUGGAUGAGUGGCGAACGGGUGAGUAACACGUGAGUAACCUGCCCCCUUCUUCUGGAUAACCGCAUGAAAGUGUGGCUAAUACGGGAUAUUCUGGGUCUGUCGCAUGAUGGGUCUGGGAAAGAUAUUGUUUCGGUGGGGGAUGGGCUCGCGGCCUAUCAGCUUGUUGGUGGGGUGAUGGCCUACCAAGGCGGUGACGGGUAGCCGGCCUGAGAGGGUGGACGGUCACACUGGGACUGAGACACGGCCCAGACUCCUACGGGAGGCAGCAGUGGGGAAUAUUGCACAAUGGGCGCAAGCCUGAUACAGCGACGCCGCGUGAGGGAUGGAGGCCUUCGGGUUGUGAACCUCUUUCGCCAGUGAAGCAGGCCUGCCUCGUUUGUGGGUGGGUUGACGGUAGCUGGAUAAGAAGCGCCGGCUAACUACGUG
Molecule: ribosomal RNA, 494 nt
Filed under: uncultured bacterium
Lineage: Bacteria
Description: partial 16S ribosomal RNA
Rfam family: Bacterial small subunit ribosomal RNA
Source: RNAcentral